RNAcentral lists this ribosomal RNA (574 nucleotides) under Deltaproteobacteria bacterium. Its description in RNAcentral is "bacterial SSU rRNA". It matches the Rfam family "Bacterial small subunit ribosomal RNA", at positions 1 to 548 of the family's 1533-position model. Lineage: Bacteria; Pseudomonadati; Myxococcota; Myxococcia. The record is from RNAcentral.
AAACUGGAGGGUUUGAUCCUGGCUCAGGACGAACGCUGGCGGCGUGCCUAACACAUGCAAGUCGUGCGAGAAAGGCCCCUUCGGGGGCUGAGUAAAGCGGCGGACGGGUGAGUAACGCGUGGGUAACCUGCCCUCAAGACCGGGAUAACCUUCCGAAAGGGGGGCUAAUACCGGAUAAGACCACGGCCACCACGGUGGCUGUGGCCAAAGGUGGCCUCUGCAAUGCAAGCUACCGCUUGAGGAGGGGCCCGCGUCCUAUCAGCUAGUUGGUGGGGUAACGGCCCACCAAGGCUAAGACGGGUAGCUGGCCUGAGAGGGUGGCCAGCCACACCGGGACUGAGACACGGCCCGGACUCCUACGGGAGGCAGCAGUGGGGAAUCUUGGGCAAUGGGCGCAAGCCUGACCCAGCGACGCCGCGUGGGUGAUGAAGGCCUUCGGGUCGUAAAGCCCUGUCAGGUGGGAAGAAUGCCCUGUGGGCUAAUACCUCACAGGGCUGACGGUACCACCAGAGGAAGCGCCGGCUAACUCCGUGCCAGCAGCCGCGGUAAUACGGAGGGCGCGAGCGUUGUCCGG